CUUUUUAUAUGAUUAAUGAUGGUAAGUAAUGACAGAUGUGAGGGACAUCAUUCCUAAUUUUCACACAGUGUUUAUGAAGGCCUAUGGUCAGCCCUGCCUAUGCUGAGGUAGUGAUUGUUAUUGUGAGACCCAUGGACAUUUAGCCCACUCCCUUCGGGUCCCCGGAAUGAGGCACACAACUUAGCUUGACUGGAACUUUGACCACUUUAUCUGACAGACAUACUGUAUAAGGCAUUCCAGUCAUCUUCUCAAAUCCAUCUUCCAGAUUAUUUAGAGUUACCAUUAAUCCAAUUACAUAUAAAACAAUU
Non-coding RNA from Pelobates cultripes (western spadefoot toad), 308 nucleotides. The record is from the annotation of a GenBank genome assembly. Lineage: Eukaryota; Metazoa; Chordata; Amphibia; Anura; Pelobatidae.